UUUAACUCCACAUUCUCCUCAUUUGUUCUUUCUAGUUUCUGUGGAUUUCGGUGGACGUACCGUGAGCAGCGGACAGGUGGAGCAGCAGGAGCCCGAGGGACACUCGGUGAAACCAAAACAUGGCCCCGGGUGGUGGUGAUGGGUCUGGAGUCGGAAGUGUUGCAGGUGUUGUUGAACCCGGUUGCGGCACUUCAAAGAUGUCUGCCGGCAAGGAGACGCUUUAUGCUUCUUUAUCAAAUCUUCUUUAUCAACGGAAAAAAAGAUUGAAGGAGCGUUCAUGCAGGGUUUGGGUCUCUACACUCUGGAAGAGUUGAAGUUUUCCCCCUCGGGGCUCUUGUACACUCGAGGUCCAUCUCAGUAUAAGAUCCCUGCGGUGUGCGACGUGCCACUCGGAUUCAUCGUCUAUCUGCUGUCAGAUUUCCACAACCCCCAUGCUGUCUACUCUUCAAAGGGUAUUGGAGAACCCGUCCUCUUCCUGGGCAGUUCAGUGUUCUUCGCCAUCAAAGAUGCUGUGGCUGAUGUUCUGACUCAAUUCCAGGCAGCAAACCAGGAUCUUUUAAACUGUGUACAAAUUGAAAUUCUGUGUGUUUUCCUUUCUUCAGUGUUCAAAUUAAAUCUAAUCUGACUGUGAACUAAUUUGAACUAACAAUAAUUAACUAAUACAGUUAUUUUACUCAACCAUUCAAGGAUUCAAGGGGUUUAUUGUCAUUUCUAUUACACAUUUACAUGUGAAUAAAAAGGAAAUAGAUACUAAUCCUUUAUGAACUAUUUUUAAAGGUUAAUUUAAAUAAAACAUUUUACUGACACCAUAUUGAACAUCUGUUCUCAUUCUGUACCAUGUAAAUGUGAAAUAAAUAC
This is an RNA transcript of Toxotes jaculatrix (banded archerfish), 858 nucleotides long. It is a transcript of the gene named aldehyde oxidase 3-like, with no coding region annotated. The record is from RefSeq and is a predicted model, not a curated record. NCBI's taxonomy places the organism in Eukaryota, Metazoa, Chordata, Actinopteri, Toxotidae. The transcript is spliced from 5 exons.